AGUGAACGCUGGCGGUAGGCCUAACACAUGCAAGUCGAACGGCAGCACAGUAAGAGCUUGCUCUUACGGGUGGCGAGUGGCGGACGGGUGAGGAAUACAUCGGAAUCUACUUUUUCGUGGGGGAUAACGUAGGGAAACUUACGCUAAUACCGCAUACGACCUACGGGUGAAAGCAGGGGAUCUUCGGACCUUGCGCGAUUGAAUGAGCCGAUGUCGGCUUAGCUAGUUGGCGGGGUAAAGGCCCACCAAGGCGACGAUCCGUAGCUGGUCUGAGAGGAUGUUCCGCCACACUGGAAUUGAUGCACGGUCCAGUCUCCUUCGGGAGGCAGCAGUGGGUGAUAUUGGUCAAUGGGCGGAAGCCCGAUCCAGCCAUUCCGCGUGGGUGAAGAAGGCCUUCGGGUUGUAAAGCCCUUUUGUUGGGAAAGAAAAGCAGCAGGUUAAUACCCCGCUGUUCUGACGGUACCCAAAGAAUAAGCACCGGCUAACUUCGUG
This 492-nucleotide ribosomal RNA is filed under the name uncultured bacterium. Its description in RNAcentral is "partial 16S ribosomal RNA". It matches the Rfam family "Bacterial small subunit ribosomal RNA", at positions 29 to 507 of the family's 1533-position model. The record is from RNAcentral.